RNAcentral lists this ribosomal RNA (522 nucleotides) under uncultured bacterium. RNAcentral's name for it is "bacterial SSU rRNA". It matches the Rfam family "Bacterial small subunit ribosomal RNA", at positions 8 to 524 of the family's 1533-position model. The record is from RNAcentral.
AGAGUUUGAUCCUGGCUCAGAUUGAACGCUGGCGGCAUGCUUUACACAUGCAAGUCGAACGGCAGCGCGGGGGCAACCCUGGCGGCGAGUGGCGAACGGGUGAGUAAUGCAUCGGAACGUAUCCUGUAAUGGGGGAUAACGUAGCGAAAGUUACGCUAAUACCGCAUACGCUCGAGAGAGGAAAGUGGGGGAUCGCAAGACCUCACGUUAUAGGAGCGGCCGAUGUCCGAUUAGCUAGUUGGUGGGGUAAAGGCCUACCAAGGCGACGAUCGGUAGCUGGUCUGAGAGGAUGAUCAGCCACACUGGGACUGAGACACGGCCCAGACUCCUACGGGAGGCAGCAGUGGGGAAUUUUGGACAAUGGGCGAAAGCCUGAUCCAGCCAUGCCGCGUGCGGGAAGAAGGCCUUCGGGUUGUAAACCGCUUUAGUCCGGGAAAAAGGGGUGCGAGGAUAAUACCCUCGUGCUUUGAUGGUACUGGAAGAAUAAGCACCGGCUAACUACGUGCCAGCAGCCGCGGUAAU